This 1010-nucleotide ribosomal RNA is filed under the name Skrjabinotaenia lobata. Its description in RNAcentral is "partial large subunit ribosomal RNA". The stretch from base 201 to 479 matches the Rfam family "Bacterial large subunit ribosomal RNA", at positions 2074 to 2646 of the family's 2925-position model. Lineage: Eukaryota; Metazoa; Platyhelminthes; Cestoda; Cyclophyllidea; Catenotaeniidae. The record is from RNAcentral.
UUAAUAAAUUUUUUUGAGGGGGGGGGUUGGUGUGUGGUGUGUGGGUUUUUUAAGAAAGGGCGCCAUAUAUUGACUGUGCAAAGGUAGCAUAAUUAAUUGCCUUUUAAUUGGAGGCUUGUUUGAAUGGUUUGACGGAGUAAUUUUAAUAUUUUAGGCUUUUGUUGAAAUUGAUAUGCAGGGCUCAGAAUCCUGUAAAGGUUAAUUAGACGGAAAGACCCCAGGAUCUUUGAUUUUGCCUGGGGCAGGUGCUAGUGUUUUAAUGGUAUUUUGUCCCUAAAUUUGGAUUAUUGGGUUAAGUUACCCUGGGGAUAACAGUGUAAUAGUCGAUUAGAGAUCUUAUCGAGUCGAUUGUUUGCCACCUCGAUGUUGACUUGGGUUUAAACUUGGGCGUAGUAGUUUAAGUGUUGGGUCUGUUCGACCUUAUAAACCUUCAUGAGUUGAGUUAAGACCGGCGUGAGCCAGGUCGGUUCUUAUCUAUUGGUGUUACUUAUUAGUACGAAAGGACCAUAAGUUUUUUUAUUGAGUAUGAAAUGUUGAUACUUAGCUUUGCAAAAGCUAAUGAGAAACGGUUUAUGUGUUUCCAUACUUUGUUUGUUUAACUGUGGCAAUAAGAAGUUUUGUUGUAUUAACUGCAUAAAAUGAUUUUAUACUUUAUGAAAUUAGGUUUGGUUUAAGUUUAUUAGCAGUUAGUUUUUUAUUAGGAUGAAAGUCUUUUGAGAGUAUAGCAGAAAAAGGGGAGAGGACACAGUGCCAGCAUCUGCGGUUAAUCUGUUUUCUUUGCUUUUUUGUGGACUUUAUUUAAAUAUUAAUAUGUAAGUUUAGGUGAAAUUUACUUAUUUUUAGUUUGAGUGUUUAAUUUUUGAUAAAUAAUGAWUAGUGACAGGGAUUAGAUACCCCAUUAAUGAGUUAGAUUAUUUUGUCUUWGUAUCRRCUAAAAUAGUUGUCMKUUGUGAGUCCRUUACGGCGCCGUGUUUUAAAAAAUAACCUAAAGGCGGGAAAAAAAAUUUUCC